This 20-nucleotide small nuclear RNA is filed under the name Arabidopsis thaliana (thale cress). RNAcentral describes it as "snRNA_09000". The record is from RNAcentral. Lineage: Eukaryota; Viridiplantae; Streptophyta; Magnoliopsida; Brassicales; Brassicaceae.
UCGUUCGUCUGACUUGGGUA